GUGGGGGGAUUAGUGGCGAACGGGUGAGUAACACGUGAGUAACCUGCCCUUGACUCUGGGAUAAGCCUGGGAAACUGGGUCUAAUACCGGAUAUGACUGACUAUCGCAUGGUGGUUGGUGGAAAGCUUUUGCGGUUUUGGAUGGACUCGCGGCCUAUCAGCUUGUUGGUGGGGUAAUGGCCUACCAAGGCGACGACGGGUAGCCGGCCUGAGAGGGUGACCGGCCACACUGGGACUGAGACACGGCCCAGACUCCUACGGGAGGCAGCAGUGGGGAAUAUUGCACAAUGGGCGGAAGCCUGAUGCAGCGACGCCGCGUGAGGGAUGACGGCCUUCGGGUUGUAAACCUCUUUCAGUAGGGAAGAAGCGUAAGUGACGGUACCUGCAGAAGAAGCGCCGGCUAACUACGUGCCAGCAGCCGCGGUAAUACGUAGGGCGCAAGCGUUAUCCGGAAUUAUUGGGCGUAAAGAGCUCGUAGGCGGUUUGUCGCGUCUGCCGUGAAAGUCCGGGGCUCAACUCCGGAUCUGCGGUGGGUACGGGCAGACUAGAGUGAUGUAGGGGAGACUGGAAUUCCUGGUGUAGCGGUGAAAUGCGCAGAUAUCAGGAGGAACACCGAUGGCGAAGGCAGGUCUCUGGGCAUUAACUGACGCUGAGGAGCGAAAGC
RNAcentral lists this ribosomal RNA (663 nucleotides) under Pseudarthrobacter oxydans. RNAcentral's name for it is "bacterial SSU rRNA". It matches the Rfam family "Bacterial small subunit ribosomal RNA", at positions 83 to 760 of the family's 1533-position model. The record is from RNAcentral. Lineage: Bacteria; Bacillati; Actinomycetota; Actinomycetes; Micrococcales; Micrococcaceae.